RNAcentral lists this small nucleolar RNA (83 nucleotides) under Oncorhynchus kisutch (coho salmon). Lineage: Eukaryota; Metazoa; Chordata; Actinopteri; Salmoniformes; Salmonidae. The record is from RNAcentral.
AUUGUCAGUGAUGUUUUACGUCAGUAAAUAUUCGAGUUUAACAACCAUGAGAAUACCUUACAUGCACUACCAUCUGAGACAAC